Molecule: long non-coding RNA, 3259 nt
Organism: Cynoglossus semilaevis (tongue sole)
Lineage: Eukaryota; Metazoa; Chordata; Actinopteri; Pleuronectiformes; Cynoglossidae
Exons: 3
Source: RefSeq, a predicted model, not a curated record
CCUAAACUAAAGAAACUGAAUGGAGAAACAAAAAAAAAUCUCUUGCUUCCUUGUGUUUUUUUUUGUUUGUUUGUUUGUUUGUUUGUUUUUUUUUAUGCCAUGAUACAUUAAACCCCACUGUUCCUGCAUCUGGACUCUGUGGUCACCCUUGACCUCAUCUAGGUCCAGUCCAAUCCAGUUGACCUGCUCCAGCCCCGAUUACUCUGUAUUUGUGUGUGUGUGUUGUCAAAUGGAGUGACACAGCUUGGAGGCAACCCUUAGCUUUUACACUGAAAUAAACUGGGUCAGAACCUAAAGGUUACCAGCAGGAACCCCAAAAAAAUGUGUGUAGUGAAAAUUAUAGCACACCCAAAAAUGUCUCCUGUUUUUUUUUUUUAAUAAACUUUCUGUGUAAAUUAUUUAGACUGCACCAAAGCAUUUAAAUUGAGCAUCGGCCACAUUUCAGGAGAAGCUAGAUUAUAGUGUCGUCAGAACUCAUCAGCUCUGAACAACUCUAAACAUUGACAUGACAUUAUUUUAUUGGCCAAUCACACAACUCAUUGUUUCCCUGUGUGUACAAUUUGGUUGGUUUUAAGUGGAAUUAUCCAAGAACGACUCGGGGUGAGAAUCUUUUUUUUUUUUUUUGUCAAGACUGACCUGAAAAUGGCAGAAAACUUGAAUACAAAGAGCGAAAACAAUGGUAUCGUAAUGUAAAUUAUUAGUUUUUGACCCAAGUAUUUUACUGAAAACACCAAAACAAAUGACUGAACAAGACUCACCUUCUUUUGGUUAGAAGUAAAAAUAAAGCAAAUGUUUUAUUUAUUAAUUUAAACCAGUCUAAUUGAGGUUUUCAUACAGUUUGUAAUGCAUCCUAAUUUUGUGCUUUUGAAACAGAUUUUCAUUGAUCUUUAUUUUAUUAAUCCCAACUAACCAAAGUUUCAAAAUCUUUGGUUGUUUAAUCGUCAGACUGAUGAAGGAGUCUUCGUCCACAGCUGCUCCCUGUGAGGACACGAUGCAGGGCUUCACAUGAUCACUGAUUUGAUUUUUAAUGCAAUUAGAAAAGUGUGGUAAUCUGCUCUACAGUUGUCAAAGUCUGUAAGACUGACACACACACACACACUCUUGAUUCCAACCCCCCCCCACCCCACGCCUCCAGUCUGUCAAACCUCCAUCCAUCUUUUCUCGUCCAUCAUGCGGCUCCUUUAUUUUUCCUUCUUCUUCUGCCGCGGUCCCUCAGCUGUCAGUGCAGCCAGUCAUGUGUGUGUGAGUUACAGCUGGACCACCUGCUGCUCACACCACAAACACACCUGUCAAUCUAAUGUAUUCUAUAACCGAGGAGUUUCUGAAAGAAAUGUGGUCUCUAAUUGAAAGAUUGAGUUCAGUCAGUCUUUGUCACCUGCUGUUUUACAUUCUCGCCUUUCGUUCUCUUGGGUGUAAACAACAACAACAACAAAAAAAAAACACUAAUGUGUGUAAAUGUCUACAAAUGUCAAACUGCACAGAUCUGCGUCCUCCCAUCACACACUGUGCCUCCAUCUUCAAAUCAGGGCUCAUUAUUUCUCAUCUGUCUCCACUUUGUUGCUCUUCAGUCACCAAUAUAUACUGUAUAAAAAAUAUAUUAAAAAAAACAACACAACUCCGUUUGACCAUCUGACAUAAUCAAUUCCUUUGCACUCGAGUGUCUGAUUAUCGAAGGUCUACUCUUUAACAUUCCAGUCCAGUAUAUAUAAACACAUGCACAUAUAUCUUAUAAUAUGUGCUCUGCCAAGAAGCAGCUCUGGGGCUUUUCCAUAUUUUCACGUUUUAACUUCCAGUGUGUAAAAUGGGAAAAAGUGACAUCUAGAGGUAAGGCCAAAAAUUGCAAUAAAUUGGCUAUUUAUUUCCUUCAGUGUGUUCAAAGACUAGAAACUGUUGCCUCGUAUGAAGAAUGACGACUAAGUUUAUCUAAUUAUUUCUUUUUUAUUGGCUUGUCUUUUUUUUCCAUCAGAUUGCAGAAAUGCAUAUACUUGUUUUGUUUGGUCCAUCCAAGCCACUGUAAAACUUAGCAAAGUACUAUAUACUCAGAGUACAAAUACAAGGCUUAUUCCAACUCUUUACAACAACCAAAUUUGUUUUCGUUGUAAUCCCAGCAAACGACAAUGUGGUCCAAUGCGAUCCUCCCAAAUGUUACACACUGGACCUUAAAACUCUUUCUCACACAACAGACCUGUAGAAAAUUUCUGUCCAACAAAAUGUUUAUGAAGGAGCCACAAAUGAAGGGAGCAUUGACCUGUUCCCUUUAUAUACAUGUACAUGUAUAUGCUAGUUAUUUAAAACUGAUUAGGAUAGUGCAUUAGCUUAGUGACAUAUUUAAGAAGAAAAAAAAAGAUUGCGGCUUCUGAACAUUAUUUAUAUUUGUUGUACAAUGCUCGAUGGUCCCCUCAAGCCUUAAAUCUCUCUCUCUCUCUCUCUCUCUCUCUCUCUCUCUCUCUCAUCUUUGCAUUGACGUGUGUCGUGUUUUGAUUUCUUAGGAUUGUUGGGACGAUGCUUGACGAGAUGAACACACACCCAGUCAGAGUUAGAAGAUAUUUUUCACCAGGUUCAGUCUCUCAAGCAUCUUUGUUGAAAAUAUGGAAGAUUAGAAUCAGAGAUGGAAACCAAGUCCAGUGGUCUGUGUGUGUCCUUUAGAAACUGCACUGUAAAAUAAAAAACAAAAACAAAAAAACUACUUACAUUCAUCCUAAUAAAGCCCUUGUUGGAACAGUCACUGAGUCUGAGUCUGAUUUAUAAAAUCUGCUAGUUUUAUUGGCUUUUUAUUCAUAUCUUCAUUCCAUUUGUUGGAUAUUAUUGUACAUGCCAUUGCUUGCACUCGUGGAAUAACUUUUAUAUAUUUUCCUUCUUUAUAUAUGUUUAUCUGGGAUUUAUGUAAGUUUUAAACAGUGGUUCCCGAACAUUUUUGGACAAACAUUUCCGGUAUUACUUUAAAUCUAAGCUUUUGUUUUGAAAAUCAGCGGAUAUGUUGUUAAUAGCCCCGUUCUCGCAUCAGCUUGUUGUUCCUAAUUGACAGGUUUUUAAUGGAAAGGAUGUUCGUCUCACUCACGCUUACAUGUUUUAUCAUCAUCGUGCAGUGAAUGUGUCAACAUGGUGGGCUGGACUGGAGUCAACAGAAUCUAAAAAGAACAACAACAACAAAAAACAGUACAGGUAUGAAUGCUCCACAGCAUACAUGUCAAACUCAAGACCCGGGGGCCAAAUGCGGCCGGCCAAGCCAUUUUGUGUGGCCCACAGCAGCUUAAAAAGC